UUUAAGUUUAUGAUCUUAAUGUGAAGGAUUUGAAAUGCAUGAUUUAUGGCUUGAAAUUUGUUUACUCAAAUACCAUAGUAUUUUGAGCAUGAUUUAGAGAUUUAAGAGAGGGAGUUUCUUGAUGUAAAUAUAUUUUGUUAAAAGAGAAAGAUUUGCAUGAGAUUAAGAGAUUUGACAUGACCACCUUGCAUCAUUGAAAGUUUGACAAAGAG
RNAcentral lists this long non-coding RNA (212 nucleotides) under Capsicum annuum. RNAcentral describes it as "long non-coding RNA (CANN_LNC008776)". Lineage: Eukaryota; Viridiplantae; Streptophyta; Magnoliopsida; Solanales; Solanaceae. The record is from RNAcentral.